UGAUGAGUUAUUCUGUACUUUUGUAGAGUACAAAUUAAUUAUUCUGAAACAAGAAUGUUAUUGACAGUGAUUUCAAAAUUGCAGUAAGCGAAGCGAUUGUU
Molecule: long non-coding RNA, 101 nt
Organism: Octopus sinensis (East Asian common octopus)
Lineage: Eukaryota; Metazoa; Mollusca; Cephalopoda; Octopoda; Octopodidae
Exons: 3
Source: RefSeq, a predicted model, not a curated record